Molecule: ribosomal RNA, 253 nt
Filed under: uncultured bacterium
Lineage: Bacteria
Description: partial 16S ribosomal RNA
Rfam family: Bacterial small subunit ribosomal RNA
Source: RNAcentral
UACGUAGGGUGCAAGCGUUAAUCGGAAUUACUGGGCGUAAAGCGUGCGCAGGCGGUGAUGUAAGACAGGUGUGAAAUCCCCGGGCUUAACCUGGGAACUGCAUUUGUGACUGCAUCGCUGGAGUGCGGCAGAGGGGGAUGGAAUUCCCGGUGUAGGAGUGAAAUCCGUUGAUAUCGGGAGGAACACCAAUGGCGAAGGCAAUUUGCUAGGCUGAUUCAGACACUGAGAUGUGAAAGCGUGGGGAGCGAAUGGG